GGAAAUAGGAGGUGUUUGAGAUUUGGAAUGGGCGCUAGAAGAUUUUCCCAAUUUGGAUGUGGCAUAGACCGUGCCAGCUGCCCAUCAAAAGAAGGCAUUGUUUAGCAUUGCUUUGAAUAAGUAUUUUUUGUUUAAAAAGUAUUUUUGAAAGAAAAAUUGUGUUAGAUAAAUUAUUUUUGAUUAAAAUUUUUGAUUUUUCAAAAAUACUUUUUAUUGCUUAAUUACUUUUUUAUCUCGAAAGAACAUGGUAUUUUCCCUUCUAUGUUUCUUUGGUUCUCCCUUCUCUUUCAUUUCUCUUUUUCUUUCAUUUUCUCCAGGAGUUUUUGCUACUACUCUCUCUCUCUCUCUCUCUCUUUUUCUUUCUACUCUCCUAAUCCCAUCUUCUCAUUUCAAAUCCCUAUUUAAGUUUCUCGUUUUUCCCCGAUUUCAGAUUGUAUCUCAUCAGUACCUUCUAGAGUUUUGUUUGAAGCUAUGCUGAAACUUCUGAAGAACAUGAAACUUGUCCUUUGAUACGUAUAGAGAUGAUGCACGACUGUCAGAAGUAUAUUGCUAUAAGGUCAGAGAAAGAAUUGACAUUUAUAUCAUCCUAGCUCACUAGAUGACAAGAUCCUAUUUGAAAGAUGUAGCAUAUAUUUUUUUGUAGUUUAGGAUGCCUGAACGAUUAUAAGUUCCUCUUUUUCAAUCUUGUUUAACACUCGAAUCUUCUUAUUCUUGCCUUUGAUUGUUAGUAGUUAAGGUAUUCAUUUGGUAUUUAAUUAUUGGUAGUGCAAUGUUUUUUCAA
Long non-coding RNA from Gossypium arboreum, 781 nucleotides. RefSeq lists it as uncharacterized. The record is from RefSeq and is a predicted model, not a curated record. The transcript has 2 exons. NCBI's taxonomy places the organism in Eukaryota, Viridiplantae, Streptophyta, Magnoliopsida, Malvales, Malvaceae.